GACGAACGCUGGCGGCGUGCUUAACACAUGCAAGUCGAACGGAAAGGCCCCCACCUUGGUGGGGGUGCUCGAGUGGCGAACGGGUGAGUAACACGUGGGUGAUCUGCCCUGUACUUCGAGAUAAGCUUGGGAAACUGGGUCUAAUACCGGAUAGGACCAUGGUUUAGUGUCUCAUGGUGGAAAAAUUAUUGUUUUGGUGCAGGAUGAGCUCGCGGCCUAUCAGCUUGUUGGUGGGGUAAUGGCCUACCAAGGCGUCGACGGGUAGCCGGCCUGAGAGGGUGGACGGCCACAUUGGGACUGAGAUACGGCCCAGACUACUACGGGAGGCAGCAGUGGGGAAUAUUGCACAAUGGGCGCAAGCCUGAUGCAGCGACGCCGCGUGGGGGAUGACGGCCUUCGGGUUGUAAACUCCUUUCGUUAGGGACGAAGCCACACCUUUUUUGGGUGUGGUGACGGUACCUUUGUUAAGAAGCACCGGCUAACUACGUG
RNAcentral lists this ribosomal RNA (489 nucleotides) under uncultured bacterium. Its description in RNAcentral is "partial 16S ribosomal RNA". It matches the Rfam family "Bacterial small subunit ribosomal RNA", at positions 28 to 507 of the family's 1533-position model. The record is from RNAcentral.